ACCUGUGAAGGCUUCAGAAAGUAGACAAACCCACUUUUAUGCUCAAAAAGCAUGAAUAGAUCUGCUGAUUUGACAUCAGGUUUCCUAUUUCUGCAUGUGGGGUGAGCCAAAACAGCUGCUUUUUGUUGUGGUAAAAGUGGUAUCAAUACUGACAGUGAUGCCCAUACAGAUUUUUGAGACCUUAGGCUCAAAACUAAGGCAUGGAAUUCCAAAGGAAGUCGCUGCCGUAAGCACCACCUGAGAAAAAGUAUCACAAUAGACUGUUUCUUCAGUCUAAGACUUGCUUAGUUGA
Streptococcus pyogenes M1 GAS is the source of this 292-nucleotide small RNA. It matches the Rfam family "Streptococcus sRNA 8". Lineage: Bacteria; Bacillati; Bacillota; Bacilli; Lactobacillales; Streptococcaceae. The record is from Rfam.